GGGGAGAGACAGAUCACUGGCGAUGGCAGGAUGGAGGUAUGGAAAGGGGAGAGACAGAUCACUGGUGAUGGCAGGAUGGAGGUAUGGAAAGGGGAGAGACAGAUCACUGGCUAUGGCAGGAUGGAGGUAUGGAAAAGGGAGAGACAGAUCACUGGCGAUGGCAGGAUGGAGGUAUGGAAAAGGGAGAGACAGAUCACUGGCGAUGGCAGGAUGGAGGUAUGGAAAAGGGAGAGACAGAUCACUGGCGAUGGCAGGAUGGAGGUAUGGAAAGGGGAGAGACAGAUCACUGGCGAUGGCAGGAUGGAGGUAUGGAAAGGGGAGAGACAGAUC
This is a long non-coding RNA of Brienomyrus brachyistius, 330 nucleotides long. RefSeq lists it as uncharacterized. The record is from RefSeq and is a predicted model, not a curated record. NCBI's taxonomy places the organism in Eukaryota, Metazoa, Chordata, Actinopteri, Osteoglossiformes, Mormyridae. The transcript has 3 exons.